This 83-nucleotide ribosomal RNA is filed under the name Enteractinococcus helveticum. RNAcentral's name for it is "partial 23S ribosomal RNA". The record is from RNAcentral. Lineage: Bacteria; Bacillati; Actinomycetota; Actinomycetes; Micrococcales; Micrococcaceae.
GCGUGCAUACUGGUUGGGUAAGUUGCUAAGGGCGCACGGUGGAUGCCUUGGUAGUAGGAGCCGAUGAAGGACGUGGGAAUCUG